CCCUUAGAUGUUCUGGGCUGCACGCGCGCUACACUGACUGGUGCAACAAGUGUCUGACCUUGGCUCGAGAGGCCUGGGCAACCUUUGAACGCCAGUCGUGCUGGGGAUAGAUUCUUGCAAUUAUUAAUCUUCAACGAGGAAUUCCUAGUAAACGCAAGUCAUCAGCUUGCAUUGAUUACGUCCCUGCCCUUUGUACACACCGCCCGUCGCACCUACCGAUUGAAUGGUCCGGUGAAAUCUCGGGACGGCGGCUUGGUCGCUUGCGUCCGACUGCUGAAACUUGAUUAAACCAUAUCAUUUAGAGGAAGGUGAAGUCGUAACA
RNAcentral lists this ribosomal RNA (322 nucleotides) under uncultured eukaryote. RNAcentral describes it as "partial 18S ribosomal RNA". It matches the Rfam family "Eukaryotic small subunit ribosomal RNA", at positions 1470 to 1796 of the family's 1831-position model. The record is from RNAcentral.